Long non-coding RNA from Sapajus apella (tufted capuchin), 5524 nucleotides. RefSeq lists it as uncharacterized. The transcript has 3 exons. Lineage: Eukaryota; Metazoa; Chordata; Mammalia; Primates; Cebidae. The record is from RefSeq and is a predicted model, not a curated record.
AAUGAAUGGGCAUUUACUUCCCUUUUCCAGCCCUGUCUGUGCUGGGGGAGUACUAGCAUUUCAGUCCAGAUCCUGCCUGGAUGGUGCUGAAAGGUUGCUGCAGCUCUCAGGGUCACGGCAGCCCUGGGGUCCCGGCAGCCCUCGGGGUCACGGCAGCCCUGGGGUCCUGGCAGCCCUCGGGGUCACGGCAGCCCUGGGUGUCCCUCCUGAUCUGCUCUCGGGAUCUGGCUGGGUGCUGUGGUCUCUGCUGGGGCAUCACACCAGGCUCAGGUCAGUGAGCAUAGGACGUGCCAGGCAAGGCUUCUGUGGCUCCUAAAGACGAGGGCACAGCAUCCCUGAUGCUCCCCAGAAGACUUCCCAGGGCUUUUCCCCAGGGCAUCUGUAAGGGGACCUUUGCACAGACGUGGGGCCCUCCAUCCUCACCACAUCCUGCUGUCCCUGUUCCAACUUUAGUCCCCAUGGUGUGGCCAUAGGAAGGGCGAGUGGGGGCAUGUGGCCUCAGUUUCCCCGGUUUUCAGGGCAAUACCGUUACCUGCAGGAGAUGGUGUGUUUGGAACAGGGGUGGGCUGCUCUUUGGGCAAGCUCAUGGGAAGCUCCCUGACCUCAUGGGGUCACAGGGAGAUGGCAUUCUGUAAGUCAUGGGUCCUCUCGGCAGAGUGGACUUCAGGUCACUCGGGGAGUCCCUCGUUCCUAAAUGCAGCUGGAGGACCUGCCAGGAGCGGAGCUCAUGCAGCAGGCGUGGGAGGCUGGGGCAUCAGGCUAAUUCCCACUGUGAUCCCAGGAGAGCCUGGAAGGGGAGGAGGGCUCCUGCUCACACCCAGGACGGGUGGCCCGGGAACCAGUGUGCACUGGCUGCCAUGGCCUGAACCCAGACCCCAGAUGGUGCAGGCUGCUUGUCUCCAUGGCUGCCAGAAUGCUGAGUGAGACAGAGCAGGAGGAGGAGUCCCCCAGGGGACCCCAGCUCAGCCCUAGGCAGCCUGAGGGCCCGGGGGUGCAGGAGGCCAGCAAGGCGACGAGGGUACUGUGCAGGGCCAGGGGCCACCCAUCUGAUGCUCCCUGCUCAUACUGGCUUCUCACGCUGUGUCACGGUCACUGCGCCCCACACUGGCUGCCCCUUUUCUCAGUGCUUGUCUAUAUCUAUCAGCUGUGGGCUUUCUUCAUCGUCUGUGGUCCACCGUUUGUGAUCUGGUCCGUUCCCAGUGCUCAGCACACGGAAGCGUGAGAGGCACAGCCAAAGGUUCCUCCAAGGGGAGCCCGCGUGUCCUAAAGCCCACCCUGUCCCCACUGGGCGGCUGGCAGCUGGUACAUGCCUGCGGGACAUUGUGAGAGAGAGGGUGUGAGUGACACUGCCCAGCAGGUACCCAGCUGAUGCCAGUCUGCACGCCGCUGUGUCCCGGGCUCGACCACAGUCCCCAGCAGAGGCAAGGAGAGAGACGCUAGCCUGACCGGUCUUGCCCAAUGCCUGGCGUUGAGAUGGCCUGGCUGGGUGGUGGCUAUGGACCCGGAGGCCCUUAGGGCUGGGCAGGCCCUCAUGUGACAUCAAUAAGGCCCGUGGAGUGCUAUGGCCCUCACCGUUGCAGGGAUCAGGACAUGGACAUUUUUGGCACAGUUAUUCACUGUGCCCAGAUGAUGAUUCUUAGAAACCACUCUGCUUUUCAUACAAGUCUCCAUAGUUUGUUUAGAAGAUACAUGGGGCCACAUGGAUCUCAGAUGAUUUCACUUCAUUUUGAGCAGGAACACCAUGCCGGGUGCUUCUGCAGCGGACACCCUGGCCCUGAAAUGCAAUUGCAGGAGAUGUUUGCGCUCCUGAGUACAGUGAGCACCUGGCCCUGUUCAGGGUCUUGCUGAGCUGGGCCUCGUGCAGCCUCGUUGGUGAGAUGGGCUUGAGGGUCCAGCGUGAUCCCCACACUCUGCUGCUCAGCAUGUGCCUGGGAGGCCCUUAGGCCUGUAGCUUUGUGUUACAUUUGAGCUCUUUGGGCACUGGGGAAGGGCUCCUUCUUCAUCUCCCUCUACGUAGGGCGUUGGCUCCAGGGCUGGUGGCUGGCAGCUCUCCCUCCUGCCUUCGAGCGCAGCUGCUCUGCACCCCCAUCCUCAGGCACCUUCCCCUCCAUCUGCAUAUCCUGCCAUGCCUACCUCAGGACUCAUUGCAGGAGAUGGCCUCAGACCCCGUGGCAUGGCUGGGCUGCUCUCUGUGGCCUACCUCCCCUUUCCUGCUCGCUGGUCUUGGUACUUUUGCCUGUUGUACUGCGUCCACUGGACAGCUUCUUGGAGCCCGUGGUCCUGCAGAGCAGGCCUGUGUCUCACUCCUGAGUUCUCAGCAUUCGCCAGCUAUUCCCAGAAGAAAGGUAGUAUGGAACCCAGAUCCUUCAGCAGAUACUAAUGGUGUAUCUGACGGGGCUCAGCCUGUGCUGGGUGCCACACAUGAAUCGAGGUGAACCGAGGUGUGAAUGUGCCGUGUCAGCUCUCAUCACCGCUCUGUUUAUACACGAGAAUCAACAGGGACUUGAUUCAUUCUCCGAGGCAUAUAAGAGUGAGAUAUUUUUUGAGUGGCAACACUAAGGAAAAAGAAAUUUAAGAUUUUUUGCACGUUUAAAUAAGAGAAACUGUAACCAAAUAAGAUGUUUAUUAAUCAUUCUGUUGGUGUUUGCUGGUGGUUCUUGGAGGCUUUCCAAUGAUGGCACCUAGACUUAGAUGUUUCACUGUGGCUUUUACAGCCAUGAAAAUGGGGAGCUGUCUGGCUCUCUGGUAAUGAUUUAUCGUUAUGACUGGUAAUUACGUUAUUACCAGGAAUGAAACACCAAGCUCUGGGGAAUGAGUUUCUGGGUGAAAGUGCACAGUUGCCACUGGCUUCCUGGCUGCAUGGUUCUGCUGGUUCCCUUGUUCACAGCAGCCGCCCAUGCCCUGAGGAAACCCCAUCUGCUAGCAAGCUUUCCUCGGGGCAGCUACGGCUGUGCUCAGUUACAAGCUCAGGUGCAGGAGCGAGGGGAGCACUGACAGGUGCCAGAAGGAAGUAGGGGCACAUUCCUAUGGGGUUGGGGCAUGGGUUGGGGUCGGGAGCACAUCUUCAGCCUGAAGGGAGGGUGGGUAGCGACUGAAACCAAGAAAGCCAGCUGAAGCCGUGCCGGGAUUCAGUGUCCCGGCGAGUGAGACUUGGGGAAACAAAUCCCUGACCUCAGCCCUCCCCAGCCGACACCGGCUAUAGUCAGGUCUCCACCACUGUGGGUCAGAAACCUCCCAGGGCGAGCAGGAGUGGAAGGAAGAAAUGUCCAGCGUAGGCAGGCGUCGGGCGGCGUGACCAUUGGCCUCCUCUGUCCCUGGGUCCUGUGGCCCACAGAGUGCUGCUGCCAGAGGGAGCUGUCAGUGAAGCUGGGCUCCAGCUGCAGCACCGUGGCCUGCAGGACACGCGGGGCUCAGGCGCCUUCAGGUUUCCAGGUGCAGGAAGGUGACCUCUGCCUGGACUCUGCUGCCAGCACUCCUGCAUGGUUUCUUCCCGUUGGCCGGACCUGCACCCAUGGAGUGGGGACCAGAAACUCUGGCUCCCGGCAGCUCGGGUGCGUGAAACGGGGAAGCAAGCCAGGGCCAGCUUGGUCCUGUCAGUGAGGAGCACUAGGGUCUCCCACCCCCAUCCUGGUGCCUCCCUCCUCUUCCUGCUAGGCCUCCACCUUCCUCUGGGCCCCAGCUCUGGUAGCACUGCAUCCUCCUUCGUUUGCCCCUCCAGCCUCUGGACACUGAGGUUUUCCAGUGGGGUGGGGUGUAGUGAGACCUGCAUUCGUUAUGUAUAAAUCAGGUGGUCUACCGUUGACAUGUGGUAAAUUCACCUGUUUAAGUGUAGCCUCACCAGUGUACACAGCUGUGUAGACAGCACCACAGCUAAGGUGCAUUCCCACAGCCCAGAAUGCUCCUUUGGGCCCCUUGGGGGUGGAUUUCUACCCUGACCCACAGCGCCUGGCAGCCACAGCUCUGGAGCCUGUUUGCACAGUUUUGCCUUUUCCAGGAGGCCACAUGAGUCAAUCCUUGGAGGGGCCGCCCUCUGCCACCGCACUGGCCCCGCGCCGUGCAGCUGUGAGCCAGGUCGCCCCUCCCACUGCCCAUGGGUUUCCAUCAUACAGAUGCACCUUAGUGGCCUCGUCGCUCACUAGAUGGUGUCUGAUCCUCAGCAAUUAUGAACAAAGCCGCUGCAAACAUUUAUCGGUCUUUGUGUGGACACCUGUUUCUGCUUCUUACUCUGGGGUAAAUACCUGGGAGUGAGGUUGCUGGGCCCACUGUACGGUGUGUUUACUGUGACUGGAAACUACCCAACUGUGUCCCCAGAUGGCCACCCCACUCCGCACACUCCACGUUCUCAGCACAAGGUGUUUCGCAUCCUGCCCAGCCCUUAGACCACUGGCUCCUCCUUUCUGAAUGGGCCUGGCCAGCACAGAUGGAGCAAAAGAAAGUGACCCUCCGGCAUCUCAUGUUGCAGCUCAUAAAAAUGUGAAGACACAAUGACAUUGCAAGUAUUUAAAACUUCAAACCGUCCAGCAGAAGGAGCUUGGGUCUGAAGGUUUCUUUAUCCCUUUCACUGAAAUAUGUUGCCUAACUCCGUUUUAAGAAGUUUUUGCUUUCAUGUGGCUUUUUUUUCCCAUGAGACUGAAAACCGAUAUUCACGUUGUGGGGGAAAGGGGAGGUUUCACAAGAACCAUGCAGCCGACGUCAGAAGAGGGACAGAGCCCCCACUCAGGGCCCUUGAAGUCAAGGCCACCCGCCCAGGCCUGCUGGGGGGAGGGCGAGGGACACAGUGAGUGAGGAGGGGCAGAGAAGUCAAGGCACCUGCCAAGGGCUGGCGGUGGGAGGGCCAGGCAGGGGGUAAAGAAGUCACAGGCGUCCUCCCAGGGCCAGUGGUGGGAGGGUGGGGGGGGGGCGCAGGGGGCCAGAUGUUAGGGCGGAGCCGAGUCCUGGCUGGCGUCCAUCCUUGCGGUCUGUGCCACUGGAGGGAAUCCAUGUGCUGUGUCAUUGGGUCUCUCUGAGCUUCCCUGGCGCUCUUCUUCCGCAUGUGCCAAGGCCCGUUUUCUGCACCCGCCCCCCCCCAACCGUUCUUGCCUUGGCUGUCGCCUGCCCUCAGUGAUUUCAGUGUCCCGUGAAGCUCUAGAUGGUCUGUGCAUGUCUGCGUGGCAAGAGCUGCGCCAACAAGAUCACCGGCCAAUCCUGCAAACCUGUGAGCGCCUGUGUGCUGUGUCCACGUCCGGCUGGUUGUGGAACUGGCUGGUCCUGACUGUGAGCAGUGGGUCCUGGAGCUUCCAUUGGCUGGGAAGGGGCUCCGGUCCUGGCUGUGAGUGGGGUCCCACAGCUGUUGUUGGCUGGGAAGGGGGUCUGGCCCUGGCUGUGAGUGGGGCCCCAGAGUUGUUUGUGGCUGGGAAGGGGCUCCUGCGGUGACUGUGAGUGGGGUCCCACAGCUGUUGUUGGCUGGGAAGGGGCUCCCACCCUGGCUGUGAGUGGAGUCCCACAGCUGUUGUUGGCUGGGAAGGGGGUCCCGCCCUGGCUGUGA